UACGUAGGCAGCAAGCGUUGUUCGGAAUUACUGGGCGUAAAGAGUGCGUAGGCGGUUUUGCAAGUUUGGUGUGAAAUCUCCCGGCUUAACUGGGAGGGUGCGCCGAAAACUGCAAGGCUGGAGUAUGGGAGAGGUAGGCGGAAUUCCUGGUGUAGCGGUGAAAUGCGUAGAUAUCAGGAGGAACACCGGUGGUGUAGACGGCUUACUGGACCAUAACUGACGCUGAGGCACGAAAGCGUGGGGAGCAAACAGG
This 253-nucleotide ribosomal RNA is filed under the name uncultured Acidobacteriota bacterium. Its description in RNAcentral is "uncultured Acidobacteria bacterium partial 16S ribosomal RNA". It matches the Rfam family "Bacterial small subunit ribosomal RNA", at positions 524 to 776 of the family's 1533-position model. Lineage: Bacteria; Pseudomonadati; Acidobacteriota. The record is from RNAcentral.